UGUGUGUGUGUGUGUGUAAGUGUGUAAGUGUGUGUGUGUGUGUGUGUGUGUGUGUGUGUGUGUGUAUGUGUGAGACAGGAUAGAGAAGUAUAUCUGAGGAUGUUUGAUAUACACACAUACACUCUACGCUACCAGCUUCUAAUACACUCACCUUUCACACUCACCAGUCACACUACACUUGUCUCUCUCAUACGGAGUCAGACUCCCGCGUAUGACACGGAUAUACACACUAAUAUUAAUAAUUAUACUUAAUAAUACAGGGCGGGGGAGCAUUGUUUCCAGUCAUUCAUUUAUAUAUAUAUAUAUCUCAUGACAUUAUAGAAAUCCUAGAUGUAUGUCCUAAACACAGAUGGAUCAGCUGAUAUCAUACACAGGGGUGAGCUGAUAUCAUACACAGGGGUGAGCUGAUAUCAUACACAGGGGUGAGCUGAUAUCAUACACAGGGGUGAGCUGAUAUCAUACACAGGGGUGAGCUGAUAUCAUACAUAUGAGUCUGCUGACACAAACAAAGAUCAGCUGAAAUCAUACACAAAUGUCUAGUGACAUUGAGAAGUCGGUUGACCUCGUACACAAGGGUCAACUGGGGUCACACACACACACACACACACACACACACACACACACACACACACACACACACACACACACACACACACACACACACACACACACACACACACUAAAACAGGUCACGUCGAAGUAGGUCACAACAGUUAAAAAAGCAUAAAGAUAAUUUAGCAUAAUACAGUAAUUAAUGUUCAAAUUGGUUCAUACAUGUCAAAUAGUAAUACAGUUAUUUAGGAUAAUUAAAAAUAGGUCGAAACCGGUCAAAAUAGGUCGAAACAGACAAUAAUGGGUUGAAAUGGGUCUAAUCAAUCAUGAUUUGUCUUGAGAGUCGGGAGUAGUGUUGCAUUAUGGGUGUUUUGGAGGCACCGUGUACAAGGGGAGCAGAGUAGCCGGCCUUACGAACCCGGCAGACGACACACUAGUUGAUUGACGGUUGAGAGGCGGGAUCAAAGAGCCACAGCUCAACCCCCUGCAAGUACAACUAGGUGAGUAAACCAGAGUAAACAAAGGUUCUAUGCUGUUUACAGGCCUUUCCGGGGCUUGUAAACCAUUCUACCAACGUUUGUUUUCAGCCGGAUUUUAGUUUUUAUAUUUUAUAUAUCUUUCCUCUGAAUGUUUGUUUUAAAUCUAUGAUGAACCUCUAAGAUACAAGUUUUUGGAGACUUCUAGGUAGCUGUUGCAAGUUGAUGGUGUCAAUUGCCUGCAUGUCCCCCCCCCCUCUAGUUUACUUUGCAUGAUGGAGUCAUAUCAUGUCUUGGGGGGGGGCUAAUUUAUGCAUUUGAGUUCCAAAAUGUAUGUAACUCCUCUUCAAUGGGUCAGUAUGGGUUCCGUAGCGCAGUGGUCUUCAUCCUGAGCCGAGGGACCCGGGUUCAAUCUCCGGGCAGGAUAGAAAGUGUUUGGGACGUUCCCUUAGUAAAGGAUAGCAAAACCAGUUUACUUUUCCCCACAAAUGAUAGCAUGCCAGUUUACUUUCCCUACAGGAGAUAGAAAACUAGUUUACCUGCUCCACAGAAAAUAGCAUCCCAUCUUACUUGGAAAAAAUUUAGAGAAACGUUACUUAGAAAACUAGUUUACUUGCCCAAGAGAAGAAUGUAAACCAGUUUACUUGCCCCACAGAGGGUAGUUAACUACCAGGAAACAACACAUGAUGCGAGUAUUGUAAGUGUUGCCAGACGGAUUGUUGCACACAUCGUAAGUGGUGUCUUAAGAUACAACAACAACACACACACACACACACACACACACACACACACACACACACACACACACACACACACACACACACACACA
This is a non-coding RNA of Procambarus clarkii (red swamp crayfish), 1857 nucleotides long. The record is from RefSeq and is a predicted model, not a curated record. NCBI's taxonomy places the organism in Eukaryota, Metazoa, Arthropoda, Malacostraca, Decapoda, Cambaridae.